Molecule: long non-coding RNA, 1439 nt
Organism: Triticum aestivum (bread wheat)
Lineage: Eukaryota; Viridiplantae; Streptophyta; Magnoliopsida; Poales; Poaceae
Exons: 2
Source: RefSeq, a predicted model, not a curated record
CAUAAAUGCUCACCAGCCCAACCAGCUCAUUCACUCUAGCCAGCACACCACCCAUCUCCAUUUACUCUCCCGAGCUCGCCCCUGCUUGGCCAUCGCCAUUGUUCAAUCUCGUCCGCGCUGCCAUGUCCGCAUCGUCUUCAUCUUCCCUUCCUGUCCCAGCCGAUUGGCUGCUCCCUUUGAUGGCAUGCCCUCUCUGCAGCGACGAGGUCGUGACCGCCUUCGCGAGGACUAGUAACCAGGCUGGUCAUCGUUUCUACAAGUGCAUUCGCUAUGACGCCCUUCAGUGACGUUUCUUUGAGUUCCAGCGCGCGUACUGCAGGAGGAUGACCCACGAGCAGAUCCUUGCUGCGCAGCAUCAAGCGGGAUGGCACCCAGCGGGGCAUGGAUUUGCAGUCCAGCACGGCAACGGGGAUGCCCAGAUUGUUCCCGCUGCCAAACUAUAUGCCUUGCCCAACGAAUCAAAACUAAGUCCCAGCUCAGGUUUAACGACGCUCUUAUCAGGUUGCUCUGCAUACUUGCGGAUUGAAAUUUCUAGUGCGCUCAUCCUCGACGGGCAAGCCACCCGGUCAGGUGGUGCACUUCCAAGCCGGAGCCUGCAUAUUAAGAAGCAAAACGGGGGAAUGUAGUUAAUUUCUGCAAUUUUUUUCAGAAUCCAGCGAAAUGAUUUUUCUGUCUUUUUUCGUUUUCAUAUUUUUAGAUUUGGAUUUUGUUCUUAGUUCUAUAGCAUACAAAUAAACAAUGGACACCGGGGAUGUUUUCCCAACCCCACCCCAGAGACGAUGGCCCCUGUGAUGCUUGCUAAUAUCUAUAUUCAUUUUUCAUGUUUCUUUUUAGUUUCUGUCUCAGUUCAAUAAUUUUUGGAAACAGAAAACAGUCUUGGUCAUUUUAAUCUACAUCUGAAGGCAAGUGCAGUACCACGAUAUUGGGCCUGACUUUUUAAUUCAUUUCCCCAGAAACCAUUCGACCUGACAGCAGACGUACUUCUGAAUCACUUUUUGCAUUGAGACAUGUAUGUAUGGUACGCAUUUAACAGUAAUUUUGCAGUGCAAGGUGCAAACAGCAGAGAGGAGUUUUCACCUUUUUGUCCAACCGGGGGCUUGUGGAUUCACUCUGCCUGUUGAUUGAGCAGACCUCGUUGGAGAUUCAGCUCGUAAAGCAUGGCCACCUUGUUGCGUUGCCGCUGCUGCUCCUACAUCCUCCAUUUGAGUCAGCUCAGUGACGCCAUCGACCUCACCCACAUCCUCAGUCGCACUCCCCUUCUCCAGCAGAAAAAGUAGUGGAACUGGAUCUGGGUUGUAAGGCUGUCCGCAAAUUCCUCACGCACGGGGAACCUACAAUACGAACGGCGAGUCGCCGGCAAAAGGAUUAGAUAUCUAGGAUCGAACCACGCCGCCGGCGCUUAUGUAGAACAGCAAUUUUUGCACAGAUCUGGCCGGGAA